GGGGUGGAGUCGGAAAGGCCCGUUAAUUGAAGGGGUUGGGUUUGGCUCUUUGGGGACGCUCCCUAGGCGAAGUCUUGCUAAAGUCAGUUCCGCUUCUUUUCUUUGCUGUCGUUCGAGUUGGCUCUCUUGAGUUCGAAGAGCAGCCGCUUCCUCCUCCUCCUUUUCCCCCUUUCUCUCCGCCAGAGCCGUGCCGAUCCCAUUAACGUAAUUACAACAGACAUGUUUGUGGUCGGCGAUGGGGGAAAGACAGAAGCAGUCAAGAGGCCGAAAGUCCAUGUGUCUGGAAGGAAGAGCUCCUUAUCUAAGCAGCAUCCGCCUCGGGUGUGAUAGCCGCGUGUUUUGAGGGCCUUUAUUUGUUUUUUCCCGAUCCUUGUCAUGACCAUGCAGUUUUUUCCUCGGAUGCCCUCCGAAAAGUGCUGGAUCGCAGGACCAUCGUCCUCACCCAACAUGGCUGGCUGAAGCUGCGAAUGGCCGCUAAAUGAGGCACUUUCUAAAAAAGGAGCAUUCUAUGACAAAAUACUGAAAAAAAAGAAAAGUGAGAAAAGAGAGGAUAGGGAAGAGGAAAAGUAUUCCUUCACAAUAGGAAGAAAUUGGAGAAGACUUGACAAGGUACCAGUUGAAGGAAAAAAUUGCGAAAGAGAGCAGAAUUAAAAUCGGAGCAGUGCUUAAAAAAACAGGACAAUUACAGAGCCAUAAAUUGCAACGUCAGUAGCUUAUCAACCUCCAGGAGUCCCAGGGUAUAAUAAUUGUACUGAAAGCUGGAGUCAAAGGCUUGGAAGAGGAUCAGAAGCUGCACCGGACCCCAGCAGAUGGUGAAAAGAGCAAUGAUGAUGGCCACCAUACGAGAGAUCUUGGCUCGCAAAGCUUCAGAGAAUUCUGACAGCUGCUGUACCUAUAUUGGGGCACAGAAAGGAGGGAGAAGAGGUGACCCAAGGAAAAGGAAGUCGCUAAAUCGUGUCCAACUCCCUGCAACCCCAUGGACACAGCAUGCCAGGUGUCCCAUCCUCCACUGCCUCCCAAAGUCUGCCCAAACCUGUCAGACCUGUCCCAGCUUGGGCAUUUAGGAAAGAAAGACCUUCGACUCCAUUCGUAACAACAGGUGUACUUUUACUAAAGCCAAGUGGUUACAGUGUAAGAAAAGCCGGAUCUGAAACUUCCCAGAUGCUUCAAGGGACAGCACAGAUAACUGCAGGAAAAAAAAACCAAACCAGACGGACUUAAACAAUCUUCAUCCAUGGUCAGGAAGAGCAAGAGAGGCUGUAAGGCUCUCCUCCUGUUCUCCUACUGUAUAGUGUUUAGAAAUAGGCUGCUCUUAAACAUGGAGGAUCUAUUGAGCUGUUAGGAACAAUCUAUACACAUUUUCCAUGCCUAUAUUUUUAUCUUGCAACUCCUUCUUGCAAAGGAUAAUAAUGAACUCUAAGCUAGUCUUUCCUAAGUACUGGCAAUUCAACCCUCCCACAGGUGACAAAAGAUGGCCAGGCUAUUGUAUGAAGCCUAGUUAUAUAGGUAGUUCUCAAACCUCAACCACAAUUGACCUCAAAAUUUCCGUUGCUAAGCAAGACAUUUGUUAAGUGAGUUUUGCCCUAUUUUAUGCCCUUUCUUGCCACAACUAUUAAGUGAAUCACUGCAGUUGUUUAAUUAGUAACCCAGUUAAGUGAACCUGGCUUCCGCAUUGACUUUGUUGUAACUUCAAAUGGUCACUAAACAAAUGGUUGUAAGUUUGAGGACUACCUAUACUUGGUUGGGGGACCUGCAAGAAGCCUUAGAGCUGUAGAAGAGCUUGGGAAGUCACACAUAAAGGCAAUGCAAAGUAUUUCCAUUUGGCAGUCCAAAAAAAUACAUAGACUAAUUCAUCCCAUCGCUCGGAUGCAAGUUCAAUAUACGGCAACUUUGUGUUCAGUUAUUUUCCUCUUCACAGUAACUGAUUCCAGCAUUUUCUCAAAAGAAUUUUGCAGAUAAUGUUCCAGGACAAGAAAUCUUUUGCUGGGGUUCCUGGAGAGAUCUAAAAGAAGAUAACUUUCUCCUUUCCCAUUACAGGUAGUUCUCAACUUACAACCAUUUGUUCAGUGAGUGUUUGAAGUCACAAUGGCACUGAAAAAAGUGGCGUAUGACCUUUUUACACUUAUGAC
Molecule: long non-coding RNA, 2129 nt
Organism: Crotalus tigris (Tiger rattlesnake)
Lineage: Eukaryota; Metazoa; Chordata; Lepidosauria; Squamata; Viperidae
Exons: 6
Source: RefSeq, a predicted model, not a curated record